GAGGAUGGGUAGUCCGUACGAGCGCACCCUUGUCCUUAGUUACCAGCACGUUAUGGUGGGCACUCUAAGGAGACUGCCGGUGACAAACCGGAGGAAGGUGGGGAUGACGUCAAGUCAUCAUGGCCCUUACGGCCUGGGCUACACACGUGCUACAAUGGUCGGUACAGAGGGUUGCCAAGCCGCGAGGUGGAGCUAAUCUCACAAAACCGAUCGUAGUCCGGAUCGCAGUCUGCAACUCGACUGCGUGAAGUCGGAAUCGCUAGUAAUCGCGAAUCAGAAUGUCGCGGUGAAUACGUUCCCGGGCCUUGUACACA
Molecule: ribosomal RNA, 314 nt
Filed under: uncultured bacterium
Lineage: Bacteria
Description: bacterial SSU rRNA
Rfam family: Bacterial small subunit ribosomal RNA
Source: RNAcentral